Ficedula albicollis (Collared flycatcher) is the source of this 468-nucleotide long non-coding RNA. RefSeq lists it as uncharacterized. Lineage: Eukaryota; Metazoa; Chordata; Aves; Passeriformes; Muscicapidae. The record is from RefSeq and is a predicted model, not a curated record. The transcript has 3 exons.
UCCAGCUUCAAAUAAAGGUUCAGCUUGAUCCAGGCUUCAAACCACCCAGUUCUGGAGUGGCAAGGACAACAGACAACAGCUGGAGCUCUGAUUUGACGUGGGAAGAAUAAAGUUGGCGUGUGGUCAAGAUUGGAACAGGGUGUCCAAGGUGGAAUUAGCGUCCCUGGAAGUGUUCAAAAAGGUUAGACUGGAUGAUUCCUGAGCUCUCUUCCAGCCUGGAAUUCUGUGAUUCUCUGACCUCCUGAAAACACCAUUUGGAGAAGCCAUUCACCAUGAGGAGCCAAGCCCAGCCAGAUUCCCUCCGCCUGCGCUCCGCCGGUGUCUGCCUCGGCUUCCAGCUCCAUCAUCACAUCCAACAGAGCCUGGGGCAAAGCUGGAGCAAAACACCCAGCGCAUUCAAUUUACAAACAGAAAUAAACACCUUUUCGGCAGGUUCUACAUAAUCACUAAACAAAACCAGGGGAGACA